UACAGAGGGGGCAAGCGUUGUUCGGAAUUACUGGGCGUAAAGGGCGCGUAGGCGGCCUGCUAAGUCGAACGUGAAAUCCCCGGGCUCAACCCGGGAACUGCGUCCGAUACUGGCAGGCUUGAAUCCGGGAGAGGGAUGUGGAAUUCCAGGUGUAGCGGUGAAAUGCGCAGAUAUCAGGAGGAACACCGGUGGCGAAGGCGGAUCUCUGGGCCUUACCUGACGCUCAGGUGCGAAAGCUAGGGGAGCAAAAGGG
RNAcentral lists this ribosomal RNA (253 nucleotides) under uncultured bacterium. RNAcentral's name for it is "partial 16S ribosomal RNA". It matches the Rfam family "Bacterial small subunit ribosomal RNA", at positions 524 to 776 of the family's 1533-position model. The record is from RNAcentral.